Nilaparvata lugens (brown planthopper) is the source of this 1717-nucleotide RNA transcript. RefSeq lists it as uncharacterized. The transcript has 7 exons. NCBI's taxonomy places the organism in Eukaryota, Metazoa, Arthropoda, Insecta, Hemiptera, Delphacidae. The record is from RefSeq and is a predicted model, not a curated record.
AUAGGAGAACAGUAGGGCCGAUUCUGUACCUUCUAUAGAGGAUAGCUGAUACCGUUAAGCCUAUAUCUGAUCUGAUAUCAACUGUUCAUUCUUGUUAAAAAUAAUUAAUUAUAUUUCAUUUGGGAUUCCAUCCCUUCCAGUUAGGCCGCAACUCCACCUCAGCAUCUUCAUUUCAGUGACCUCCAGUCUGUGUUCAUGGGCUUUCUUAACUGCCCAGGCCUCCGCUCCGUAUGUCAACGCGGGCCGCACGACACGACUGUUUUAUAGAUUUUGCCCUUAAGUUUUUCAUUCCUUCUAUCACAAAGUAUUGCAGUCAUUUUCCUCCAAUUCAUCAAUUAAUUUACUAGAUGUGCUAUUUCGUUGGCCUGUUCUCCGUCUGCAUCAAAGGUUGAGCCCAGCUAAUAAGAGUAUAGAAACUCUAACUUGUACUAAACAUGAUUAUUUCAAGUAUGCAUUGUGAUGAUCUAUGAAUUAAUUUCUAUUAUACAUUAUUCAUUAUCUCAUUUCCAUUUUCAUAUGAUGUGUCUGAUAAUUCGUGAACUGUGAUUCCAUUCAUUCAUCUGUGAAUUUAUUAUAUUGUCAUCCAAUUUAUCUAUGUUCUGUUACAGGCUCUGGAAAUUGAUGAAAUGGAACAAAUUAUUUGGACAAGACACUAGAAAAAUUCUACUCGGUCGGUUUUGUAAUCAUACCUCAAGAUACUUGCGAGAUCUUCGUCUGCACUGCACUAGCAUUUCAGUUGCUUGGUAUGGAUUGUAAGACACAGAAGAAGACGCAUUUAGAUGUUUUUGGAUCUUGAAUCUUGAUGCUCACAGAAAAGCAAGUCAACCAGACAGGCUCUGGAAAUUGAUGAAAUGGAACAAAUUAUUUGGACAAGACACUAGAAAAAUUCUACUCGGUCGGUUUUGAAAUCAUACCUCAAGAAACUUGCGAGAUCUUCGUCUGCACUGCACUAUCAUUUCAGGGUUUGUUGGAGGCGAACGACAUCCACAACAAUGGGAUAGCGGGGUUCGGGCGCCAACCCGACAGUGACAGUGGUGCACUGCGAGAUCCACCACGGACAGACGGGUGGCUUGUACGGGCUCGGCCAGUUCAUCGACAACCGCAUCCAUUCCCACAGCAACCCCACCGCAACGAGAUCUACAACGGCCAUCAGGGUGGCGUCUUCAUCUUGGGCGAAGGCCGCGGCUUGAUCGAGCAUAACAAUAUCUAUGUGACUCAAUGUGGAUUGUGAAGACACAGAAGGGGACGCAUUUGGAUCUUGAAUCAUGAAUGUUGAAUCUUGAUGCUCACAGAAAAGGAAGUCAACCAGACAGUCGUCGCCGCCGCACCACGAUCACUCGGCGGCAUCCACAUCUAGUGGUGGUGGAUCUACAUGCAAGGAGCAUGCGCACUACCACUGGAUGUGGAUGCUGGAUGAGUUGGGCAACCUCGGCCGCUCCAGUACCAACUGCCCGACCAGGUGUUGCUAACCAUAUUCGGCUACUUGCUGUCGGUUUCAGGGCAUCAGCUCUGUUGGGGCAAACUGAGCCGCUUCGGCGAGCGGGCCAAUAAUUUCAACAUUGUUUCAAUUCCAAGUUGAUUGUUUUGAAUUAAUAUAGUCUACUGUUACAGAGAGACUAUGCCUUUUGAAAAUAUAAACGGUUACCUGAUAAGUACCUUAAUUUGUGUUAUGAAAUAUGAUUGAUAUCCAACUAUUUAAUAAAUUUCUCAAUUUGAA